AUUAACGCUGGCCGCGUUCCUAAUACAUGCAAGUCGAGCGAACGGACGAGAAGCUUGCUUCUCUGAUGUUAGCGGCGGACGGGGGAGUAACACGUGGAUAACCUACCGAUAAGACUGGGAUAACGUCGGGAAACCGGAUCUAAUACCGGAUGAUAUUUUGAACCGCAUGGUUCAAAAGUGAAAGACGGUCUUGCUGUCACUUAUAGAUGUGUCGAGGCUGCAUUAGCUAGUUGGUGGGGUAACGGCUUACCAAGGCAACGAGGCAUAGCCGACCUGAGAGGACGACCAGCCACACUGGGACUGAGACACGGCCCAGACUCCUACGGGAGGCAGCAGUGGGGAAUUUUGGACAAUGGGCGAAAGCCUUAUCCAGCAAUGCCGCGUGUGUGAAGAAGGCCUUCGGGUUGUAAAGCACUUUUGUCCGGAAAGAAAUCCUUGGCUCUAAUACAGUCGGGGGAUGACGGUACCGGAAGAAUAAGCACCGGCUAACUACGUG
This 496-nucleotide ribosomal RNA is filed under the name uncultured bacterium. Its description in RNAcentral is "partial 16S ribosomal RNA". It matches the Rfam family "Bacterial small subunit ribosomal RNA", at positions 29 to 507 of the family's 1533-position model. The record is from RNAcentral.